GCCAGCAGCCAUAUCACCCUGCAACUCACAACUGGCAACCCACUGAAGCUCAGCAGGUGUGAGCCUGGUCAGUACCUGGAGGGGAGACUCCUGGGAGGCUGAGGUUGCUGCUGGAA
RNAcentral lists this ribosomal RNA (116 nucleotides) under Lepisosteus oculatus (spotted gar). Lineage: Eukaryota; Metazoa; Chordata; Actinopteri; Semionotiformes; Lepisosteidae. The record is from RNAcentral.